CUGUCCUAUCUUCUGAGCUGGGACCCCACAUUUAUAAUAGCUAGUUCACGAAAACAUUUUGUGAUCCUAAAUUCUCUAUAAAUAAACCCAUUUUUCUCUCUGCAUUUCUCCCAUCCAGCAGGAUCCUAAGGCCUUUGUAGUCCUUCAGCCACUGUGGCCCCUGCCUCUGCCUGUUCUUCUGGAAUGUCUUGGGGGUUUUGAUCCUGUCACUGUGGUAUCCUAAUUGUAUCCUGAGG
This 236-nucleotide long non-coding RNA is filed under the name Pan troglodytes (chimpanzee). RNAcentral's name for it is "long non-coding RNA NONPTRT003705". The record is from RNAcentral. Lineage: Eukaryota; Metazoa; Chordata; Mammalia; Primates; Hominidae.